CAAUAAGUGUUGUUUGUGGGUUAGUGGUGUAUGUCUGCGUUAGUCAUAUAAUUUCCAGGAGAAUCCCAUACUUGCCAGGGGCCACAGUCUAUAACAAUAGACCAAAACAUGACUCGGCGAAACCGAAACAAAGUUUUAAGUGCAACUUCCUUAUUAGUGGGCCUAUAUAAGACAUAAAAGCUUUACAUUAUUAAAGACAGCUAGCUGUAAUUCUGGGUGAUAAAGAAAUGGCACAACAGUCAACCGGUGGUACCGCCCAGGCGACUUUACAGCAUGGUCGAAUGAGUGCUGCACAUUCCGCAAUAUGGACAAACUAUUAUAUGCAACUGGUGGAUGAUUUCAAAGCUGACCUCCCCAUGAUACUGGGUCAGUUUAUUACUUUUCGUAUCAUUAGCGAUGACGAUAAAGAUCAAGUAGAAAGAAAACAGAAGGCCGAUGGAAAUCCACAUGCAGCUAUAAAUCUUGUAGACAUAUUGUUCCAUAGAGGCCGCGAUGUCUUACCCAGAAUAAUAGCUGCAAUGAGGAGCGCUGGACACAACGACAUGGCCGAAAAGCUCUACACUGCUUUGCCUUUUGAUAACAGAUAAACAUUAGAUAAAUUUUAAUAUAAUAGAAAAGCUGAAAAUAAACAAUUUGAUUUUU
Long non-coding RNA from Patella vulgata (common limpet), 642 nucleotides. RefSeq lists it as uncharacterized. The record is from RefSeq and is a predicted model, not a curated record. The transcript is spliced from 3 exons. NCBI's taxonomy places the organism in Eukaryota, Metazoa, Mollusca, Gastropoda, Patellidae.